GACGAACCGGGCAAACGUUAUUCGGAAUCACUGGGCUUAAAGGGUGCGUAGGCGGCUCUGAAAGUUGGGUGUGAAAUCCCUCGGCUCAACCGAGGAAUUGCGCCCAAAACUGCAGAGCUUGAGGAAGGCAGAGGUGAGCGGAACUGAUGGUGGAGCGGUGAAAUGCGUUGAUAUCAUCAGGAACACCAGUGGCGAAGGCGGCUCACUGGGCCUUUUCUGACGCUGAGGCACGCAAGCCAGGGGAGCAAACGGG
This 253-nucleotide ribosomal RNA is filed under the name uncultured bacterium. RNAcentral's name for it is "partial 16S ribosomal RNA". It matches the Rfam family "Bacterial small subunit ribosomal RNA", at positions 524 to 776 of the family's 1533-position model. The record is from RNAcentral.